RNAcentral lists this ribosomal RNA (514 nucleotides) under uncultured microorganism. Its description in RNAcentral is "bacterial SSU rRNA". It matches the Rfam family "Bacterial small subunit ribosomal RNA", at positions 9 to 521 of the family's 1533-position model. The record is from RNAcentral.
GAGUUUGAUCGUGGCUCAGGAUGAACGCUGGCGGCGUGCUUAACACAUGCAAGUCGAACGAAGCGCCUUAUUUGAUUUUCUUCGGAACUGAAGAUUUGGUGACUGAGUGGCGGACGGGUGAGUAACGCGUGGGUAACCUGCCCUGUACAGGGGGAUAACAAUCAGAAAUGACUGCUAAUACCGCAUAAGACCACAGCACCGCAUGGUGCAGGGGUAAAAACUCCGGUGGUACAGGAUGGACCCGCGUCUGAUUAGCUGGUUGGUGAGGUAACGGCUCACCAAGGCGACGAUCAGUAGCCGGCUUGAGAGAGUGAACGGCCACAUUGGGACUGAGACACGGCCCAAACUCCUACGGGAGGCAGCAGUGGGGAAUAUUGCACAAUGGGGGAAACCCUGAUGCAGCAACGCCGCGUGAGUGAAGAAGUAUUUCGGUAUGUAAAGCUCUAUCAGCAGGGAAGAAAGUGACGGUACCUGACUAAGAAGCCCCGGCUAACUACGUGGCAGCCGCCGCCGU